Non-coding RNA from Acanthosepion pharaonis, 96 nucleotides. The record is from the annotation of a GenBank genome assembly. Lineage: Eukaryota; Metazoa; Mollusca; Cephalopoda; Sepiida; Sepiidae.
GAAAAGCUAAUUCCCGUACAAUCACCGAAGUUAAGCAAUGUCGAUCUAGGUCAGUACCUAGAUGGGUGACCUCUUGCGAAUACCCGGUGCUGUAGG